This 253-nucleotide ribosomal RNA is filed under the name uncultured bacterium. RNAcentral describes it as "partial 16S ribosomal RNA". It matches the Rfam family "Bacterial small subunit ribosomal RNA", at positions 524 to 776 of the family's 1533-position model. The record is from RNAcentral.
UACGUAGGUGGCAAGCGUUGUCCGGAAUUAUUGGGCGUAAAGCGCGCGCAGGUGGUUCUUUAAGUCUGAUGUGAAAGCCCACGGCUCAACCGUGGAGGGUCAUUGGAAACUGGGGAACUUGAGUGCAGAAGAGGAAAGUGGAAUUCCAAGUGUAGCGGUGAAAUGCGUAGAGAUUUGGAGGAACACCGGUGGCGAAGGCGGCAUCCUGGACCAACACUGACGCUGAGGAGCGAAAGCCAGGGGAGCAAACGGG